This 253-nucleotide ribosomal RNA is filed under the name uncultured bacterium. RNAcentral describes it as "partial 16S ribosomal RNA". It matches the Rfam family "Bacterial small subunit ribosomal RNA", at positions 524 to 776 of the family's 1533-position model. The record is from RNAcentral.
UACGGAGGGGGCUAGCGUUGUUCGGAAUUACUGGGCGUAAAGCGCGCGUAGGCGGACCUGCAAGUCGGGGGUGAAAGCCCGAGGCUCAACCUCGGAACUGCCUUCGAUACUGCGGGUCUCGAGUCCGGGAGAGGUGAGUGGAAUUCCUAGUGUAGAGGUGAAAUUCGUAGAUAUUAGGAGGAACACCGGUGGCGAAGGCGGGUCUCUGGGCCGAUAUUGACGCUGAGGAGCGAAAGCGUGGGGAGCGAACAGG